UCACCACGGCCGUCCUGUCCAUGACUGUCCACUGCUCCUCCACCGAUCAACCGCCGCCCGGAGAGUCCCGUCCUGCCUUCUGUCAACAGUCGCGUUCGCACUGCUGCUAACACGCAGCCAAAGAUCCUUUAUGCUUUCGCCUCUGCUCGCUACAGGAGGUGAGGUUUGGCUGAAGGUUUAUCUUAGGAGAAUGUUGAUACACGUCCUCCUAAUUUGACUGAUCACCAGAUGCAACGAGGAGAACAAAGAACACAUUCAAUCUGACUGGUGAAGGCCUCUGCACAGUCGACAGGUCAAUCA
Molecule: long non-coding RNA, 300 nt
Organism: Scatophagus argus
Lineage: Eukaryota; Metazoa; Chordata; Actinopteri; Scatophagidae
Exons: 3
Source: RefSeq, a predicted model, not a curated record